This 251-nucleotide ribosomal RNA is filed under the name uncultured Flavobacteriaceae bacterium. Its description in RNAcentral is "partial 16S ribosomal RNA". It matches the Rfam family "Bacterial small subunit ribosomal RNA", at positions 86 to 339 of the family's 1533-position model. The record is from RNAcentral. Lineage: Bacteria; Pseudomonadati; Bacteroidota; Flavobacteriia; Flavobacteriales; Flavobacteriaceae.
UGACCUAGAGCGGCGCACGGGUGCGUAACGCGUAUGCAACCUACCUUUUACUGGGGGAUAGCCCAGAGAAAUUUGGAUUAAUACCUCAUGGUAUUAUUGAUAGGCAUCUAUUAAUAAUUAAAGGUUACGGCAAAAGAUGAGUAUGCGUCCCAUUAGCUAGUUGGUGAAGUAACGGUUCACCAAGGCAACGAUGGGUAGGGGUCCUGAGAGGGAGAUCCCCCACACUGGUACUGAGACACGGACCAGACUCC